This 274-nucleotide ribosomal RNA is filed under the name uncultured bacterium. RNAcentral describes it as "partial 16S ribosomal RNA". It matches the Rfam family "Archaeal small subunit ribosomal RNA", at positions 473 to 747 of the family's 1478-position model. The record is from RNAcentral.
AAACCAGCACCUCAAGUGGUCAGGAUGAUUAUUGGGCCUAAAGCAUCCGUAGCCUGCUCUGUAAGUUUUCGGUUAAAUCUGUAUGCUCAACAUACAGGCUGCCGGGAAUACUGCAGAGCUAGGGAGUGGGAGAGGUAGACGGUACUCGGGAGGAAGUGGUAAAAUGCUUUGAUCUCUCGAUGGCCACCUGUGGCGAAGGCGGUCUACCAGAACACGUCCGACGGUGAGGGAUGAAAGCUGGGGGAGCAAACCGAAUUAGAAACCCGAGUAGUCC